This 571-nucleotide long non-coding RNA is filed under the name Anser brachyrhynchus (Pink-footed goose). RNAcentral's name for it is "lncRNA (ENSABRG00000013670.1)". The record is from RNAcentral. Lineage: Eukaryota; Metazoa; Chordata; Aves; Anseriformes; Anatidae.
CUAAUUUGCUUUAUCAUCCUCUGUUGAUAAGGUUUCUUCCUGUUUGCUACUCAAGUUAUCACAAAGGCCAAAGACAGACAGAUCCAUGCUUUCAUUUCAGUGUCAGAAAGAUUCAUGAUAGUGCCACUAAUCCAUUUUGACUCCAAGUAAGGAGGUGAUCUAAGAUUAGUUUUUCAUCUGGUGUUGCUUUGAAGAGAAAAGACCCAAGCAACAGGAUGUUGUUCCAUUCCUGGUGAUGGGAAAAUGUGGAACCAACAAGUGAACAAGGAGGAACAGAAGGAAAGAAAUUACUGCAGGGAAUAUCAAGAAUAAAUCAACAUCGAAGGAGGCAGCUGGAUCUGCUGGGAUCUCUGAAAUCAGGACAUGACGAAACAGGACUUGUAUUGGAACAGGACUCGAAGAAGAAAAAAUGAGGAAAAAUGCAAAAAUUUGUGAGGCCAUGUGCUUCAGUUAUUCCAGAUGGGCUGUAUGUAACAAAACAGGAACAGCUCAACAUGUACUUGAACUGUCUAUUCCAGGAGGUAAGCAAAAUUUUGAGGGAGGGAGGGAGGGAGGGAGGGAGGGAAUUUUA